AACGAACGCUGGCGGCAUGCCUAACACAUGCAAGUCGAACGAUACCUUCGUUUCUUUUGUCUCACUGGUUCGUAACGCGUUGUAACCUUCCCUUCUGUUCUGCAUAACUCCCCUUAUGGGGUGCUCAUACCGGUUAAUGUCUUCGGCCCAAAGAUUUAUCGCCUUUGGAUGGUCCCGCGUUGGAUUAGCUAGUUGGUAGGGUAAAAGCCUACCAAGGCGACGAUCCAUAGCUGGUCUGAGAGGAUGAUCAGCCACACUGGGACUGAGACACGGCCCAGACUGGGACGGGAGGGAGCAGUGGGGAAUAUAGGAAAAUGGGCGAAAGCAAGAAAAAGAAAGGACGGGUGAGAGAUGAAGGACUUAGGGAAGAAAAGCAAAAUUAAACGGGAAGAUAAUGACAGUAACGGGAGAAUAAGCGCCGGCUAACUACGUG
RNAcentral lists this ribosomal RNA (433 nucleotides) under uncultured bacterium. RNAcentral's name for it is "partial 16S ribosomal RNA". It matches the Rfam family "Bacterial small subunit ribosomal RNA", at positions 29 to 507 of the family's 1533-position model. The record is from RNAcentral.